RNAcentral lists this long non-coding RNA (1257 nucleotides) under Citrus x clementina. RNAcentral's name for it is "Citrus clementina (C. clementina) long non-coding RNA (CCLE_LNC006555)". Lineage: Eukaryota; Viridiplantae; Streptophyta; Magnoliopsida; Sapindales; Rutaceae. The record is from RNAcentral.
AAUAUAUAUACGACAAAAACCUUAUGCAAUACCUAAUUCCCUUUUUCCUUACUUUAGCUCUUCUUUUCUAUUGCAAGAGAGAGAGAGAGAGAGAGAGAGAGAGAGAGAGAGAGAGAGAGAAUGACAGUCACACUCACACACCCACGCCCACGCUGCAGCUAUUGUUGUUGCUGACAAUUGCUCACGUCCACGCCCGUAGCCGCCGCUAUGACUUCUGUUCAAGUGUGCCGACACUGCAGUUUGUAGCUGUUCUCGAUUUGGUUCCUCAUUCCAACUACUAUCCGAUGCCUCUGACUUCGUUCCCCAUUGUCAGCUGUCAAAACUACAUUUCCUAUAUGAGCACAAAUCUUUAACAUUACAUUCUUUUCUUAUCUAAUUUUUGUUAUAAGUUUUUGGAUUUAAGUGUCCAUGGAGAUGGUUUGCACACUUUUGCCUGACUAUCUAAUUUUUAUAUAAUUCUGUGACAAUAUUGGAUUUUGCUUCUCUACUUUGGUAUAAUUGUGCUUGGUUGAAGCUGUGAUAGUUAUAUAAGUCUACAUUUUUCAUCUUUUGUGCGCUCUUGCAAUUCCAAGGUCUGGAAGCGUCUAUAAUUUUUUAUUUUUCCCACUACGAUGACGUGUCAAUAUAUCCUUGUGUGCUUUGUUGUCUAUUGACAGAGGGAGGUGGUUUGUUUUAUGUGUGCUAUGUGUGGCAAGUUUAGGGGUUUGGGGAUCAUGAAUUUAUAUUGGAACUCUCUCCACCACCUUUUCGGUUGUUAUGCCUUCUUUUGUUCUUGUGUGUGACUUGGGCAUUUUUGAAUUGUGUGUGAUUGAGCUGUUAUGGAAUAGAAUCUCUAAGCAUCAAGUAAAUGUGGUAAUUAUAUAACUGGCCAAAGUUGGACUUGAUAAUUUAGAAGAUAUAUUCCUAAAAAAGAAAAGGUAGAGAUAUAUUUAUUAAAAAUUUAGUUGCGUAGCAGUGGGCACUAAUGGUGAAGCGGGGGAAAACACCAUGGUAUAAGGAGUAGCUUCUCUUUGACUUGCUUUUUGAAAGAAUGCUACCCUUUAGAAAAGUUUGCAAAAACAUAGCAUGCAGAGUUGCCCAAUCAGUUCUUCCUUUUAAUAAUAAUAAUAACGAGGAUUUUAGUUAGGUUGUUGUUUCAGUAACUAGACCUAGACAACAGAAAUCAUUGGUUCACAUCUCAAACCCCACAGCAAUCCAUUUGAUUCUAUAAAUCUCCAAGCUUUUGCUUCCCAAUUUAUUGACUCUUCUGCACAUUAA